Molecule: transfer RNA, 119 nt
Filed under: Pyronema domesticum
Lineage: Eukaryota; Fungi; Ascomycota; Pezizomycetes; Pezizales; Pyronemataceae
Description: tRNA-Lys
Rfam family: tRNA
About the family: Transfer RNA (tRNA) molecules are approximately 80 nucleotides in length. Their secondary structure includes four short double-helical elements and three loops (D, anti-codon, and T loops). Further hydrogen bonds mediate the characteristic L-shaped molecular structure. tRNAs have two regions of fundamental functional importance: the anti-codon, which is responsible for specific mRNA codon recognition, and the 3' end, to which the tRNAs corresponding amino acid is attached (by aminoacyl-tRNA synthetases). tRNAs cope with the degeneracy of the genetic code in two manners: having more than one tRNA (with a specific anti-codon) for a particular amino acid; and 'wobble' base-pairing, i.e. permitting non-standard base-pairing at the 3rd anti-codon position.
Source: RNAcentral
GUCUGCGUGGUGUAGUGGUAUCACAUCUCACUCUUAACAGACCUAUUACUAGCCGACUGAUGGCAGGAACAGCUGGCUUAGAUCUGGGAAGGUCGCUGGUUCAACUCUAGCCGCGGACA